RNAcentral lists this ribosomal RNA (163 nucleotides) under uncultured bacterium. RNAcentral's name for it is "partial 16S ribosomal RNA". The record is from RNAcentral.
GCACGUAGUUAGCCGGUGCUUAUUCUGCAGGUACCGUCAUUAGCGCCCCUUAUUAGGGAGCGUCGUGUUCGUCUCCUGCCAAAAGCGGUUUACAACCCGAAGGCCUUCUUCCCGCACGCGGCAUGGCUGGAUCAGGCUUGCGCCCAUUGUCCAAAAUUCCCCA